RNAcentral lists this ribosomal RNA (460 nucleotides) under uncultured bacterium. RNAcentral's name for it is "partial 16S ribosomal RNA". It matches the Rfam family "Bacterial small subunit ribosomal RNA", at positions 338 to 795 of the family's 1533-position model. The record is from RNAcentral.
CCUACGGGUGGCUGCAGUGAGGAAUAUUGGUCAAUGGACGCAAGUCUGAACCAGCCAUGCCGCGUGCAGGAAGACGGCUCUAUGAGUUGUAAACUGCUUUUGUACGAGGUUAAACGCAGAUACGUGUAUCUGUCUGAAAGUAUCCUAAGAAUAAGGAUCGGCUAACUCCGUGCCAGCAGCCGCGGUACUACGGAGGAUUCGAGCGUUAUCCGGAUUUAUUGGGUUUAAAGGGUGCGUAGGCGGUCGGAUACGUUAGAGGUGAAAUGCCGAGGCUCAACUUCGGAAUUGCCUCUGAUACUGGUCGGCUAGAGAGUAGGUGAGGUAGGCGGAAUGUAUGGUGUAGCGGUGAAAUGCUUAGAGAUCAUACAGAACACCGAUUGCGAAGGCAGCUUACCGGGCUACUUCUGACGUUGAGGCACGAAAGCGUGGGGAGCGAACAGGAUUAGAUACCCUUGUAGUC